This 31-nucleotide ribosomal RNA is filed under the name Glyceria amurensis. Its description in RNAcentral is "partial 26S ribosomal RNA". The record is from RNAcentral. Lineage: Eukaryota; Viridiplantae; Streptophyta; Magnoliopsida; Poales; Poaceae.
CGACCCCAGGUCAGACGGGACUACCCGCUGA